CGGAAGGCGCCGGCGCCCAGCUGGGUCAGGUUGUUGUAGCUGAGGUCGAGGAAGGCCAGCUUGGCCGAGCCGCUGAACGUGCCCUCCUCCAGCGAGCGCAGCGAGUUGUUCCUGAAGUCCAGGUAGACCAGGUCGCCGUAGAAAAUGAAGAAGUCCUCGGGGAUGUGCUGGAUGCGGUUGCCGGCCACCAGCAGCUUGCGCACGUCCAGCGGGAAAGGGUCGGGCACGCUGGGCAGCCCGCGGUCGCGGCAGUCCACGGUGUGCGGGUCGGUGCAGGCGCAGCCCGCGGGGCACGCGUGCCCGGGCCGGAGCAGUAGCAGCAGGAGGAGGCUGCGGACGCCGAGCGCGGCGGCGGCGGCGGCGGGGGCGCCGGAGGGGGCGCGGGGGGCGGCGCGGAGGCGCAUGGCCGGAGGGGACCCGCGCGAGCCGCGGCUACGCGGACGUGGCUCUCGGGGCGAGCCCUCCCGGCGCGGGGCGGUGCGCGGGUCCCCGGGCGGCCGGGCGCUGGGAGCUGGAGGGCGGCCGGGGCGGGGGGGGGGGGGGGNUGGCGGGAGGGGCCCCGCGCGAGCCGCGGCUACGCGGACGUGGCUCUCGGGGCGAGCCCUCCCGGCGCGGGGCGGUGCGCGGGUCCCCGGGCGGCCGGGCGCUGGGAGCUGGAGGGCGGCCGGGGCGGGGAGGGCGUGCGCCCGGGCGCGCGGGGGCGACCGAGCGCGACGCGGACGGACUGGGGGAGUCCGGGGCGGCGGGGACGCACAGGGGAGAGUCGGGGAGGGAGGGGCGAGGACUCGCGAAGGACUUACCCGGACAGGAAAUUAACCCGCUGGAAAAUCCCAGGGAGAGGCCGGAGCGAUAGAGGUUGCCGAGGGGACUUCGCCGAAGCGGCCCCACCCGGGGCCGCUUGUUUUCUGAGACCCGGCAAUAAGACCUGUCGCUGGGACUUGCCAGGAGCGCGCUCGACGACUAAGUUCGGUUACGGAGCGCCCCCCACCCCGGCGAUUUCCAGAGGGCGUGUGGGGGGCGUGCGCCCGCCUGGUGCCUAAGCGCGCUCCCCGGGCGCCAGGCCGGUUGCCAAAGGGAACGCGGCCUGGGUCCCUCUGGCUCUGCGCCCCGGGGGCAGUCCCCGCGGGCUCUGGGGGGCCAAGCCAGGAGCUGCUGACCUAGGGUUGGGCGGGGCUCCAGAGUGGCUCGUUUUCCUGCCUCACUCCGCCCACCCGCACUCGACCCAUCUCAGGGAGGCACUCGGGGUCAGUGAGGCUGGCAGCUGCCUGCCCCACCCCCCUCCCCCCCUCGCUGUGGCCCAAAAGGAAGCCAGGGCCAGUCAGCGCUUUCCAUGCUGGCCGGAGCUCGUCGGGAACCGGAGUCCCCCUUGGCACGAUCCGACCUGGCGACCUGGCUGCUGGUCUGCCCGAGGCCCAGCGGAGAGGCACUGUGGCCUGGGGUCAGAGACCUGGCUCCCCAGGGGUGUGGCCUCAGUUCCAGUGCCUCCGCCUCUCUGGACC
Molecule: long non-coding RNA, 1499 nt
Filed under: Lynx pardinus (Iberian lynx)
Lineage: Eukaryota; Metazoa; Chordata; Mammalia; Carnivora; Felidae
Source: RNAcentral